Tachyglossus aculeatus (Australian echidna) is the source of this 607-nucleotide long non-coding RNA. RefSeq lists it as uncharacterized. The record is from RefSeq and is a predicted model, not a curated record. Lineage: Eukaryota; Metazoa; Chordata; Mammalia; Monotremata; Tachyglossidae. The transcript is spliced from 3 exons.
AGAUUUCCGUUACCACCAUCGGCAGUCCUUCUGAGGCAGGAGACCUCGGGAACAGCUUCACCAACGAGCCGGAGCCAUCAUCCCAAAGGAUCCUAUCCAAGAAGAAGGUGGCGGCACCCAUUUCAGUGUUUGAAUUUCCUCGGGAGGCAGAAUCCUGUUGCCCAGAAGCUUUCCAGUGGAAACUGAAGUCUUCGUCUCCCUUGAGCAGCGGAUCUCGGAGUGCCCGGAGCGGAAGUUUCCGUACCGACUGCAGAUGCCAAAGACUUGGGACACCAGGAAUAGAACCUCCACCGAUCUACUCCCUGCCUCUGGCAAACUUUUGCACUACACCUCGUUCUCUUCCCUGAUGGACACAGGAAAGCAACAGAGGAGAGAGGCUGGGCCUGAUAAAUGGAACAGGCCAGAGCUCAGUACCUAAGAGGAGGUCGGAGGAACGGCAGCCCGAGCUUCUCCAGAAUCUGUUAACCUGAUGCCUUCUGGGACCUGAACUACAUCAAAAGCCCCCAAAGGAGGAUCCCGUUUCCUUUCCUAACUGACUGGGCUCUUUCCAUGCUUGAUUCUCAUACUAUUGUAAUGGUUUGGUUGGAAGUGUUUUGCGAUCAAUACA